AUUUGAAAGAGUGCUUAUCUAUGAAAGUCCAGCUAUCCAAGAAAAGGCUCGCCAAGUUCUUCCUACCCAGGAUCUUCAUGAAGCAGCAAGGAAGAGACUAGCAGUGAUUAACAAAGAUCUGCCAGAAGAUGAGAAACCUUUAGAUUUUCAGGAUUGUGUGUUACUGGCACUUUUAGAGUGGUUUAAAACAAAGUUUUUCAAGUGGUUUGAUGCUCCUGCGUGUCCUCAGUGCCAAAAGAAAAUGCGGGCUUCAGAGACACUUUCACCAACGCAGGAAGAUUUAAUGUGGGGUGGAGAAAGGGUUGAAGGAUAUUCAUGCCAGCCAUGUGGUACAAAGGAUCGUUUUGUUCGAUAUAAUCAUCCUGCCAAAUUGUUAGAAGACUAGGCAAGGACGUUGUGGAGAGUGGGCAAACUGCUUUACUCUCUUGUGCCGUACUUUGGGCAUGGAUGCCAGAUAUGUACUUGAUCACACAGACCAUGUUUGGACGGAAGUGUUUUCACAAUCGCAGAACCGCUGGCUUCAUGCUGAUUCUUGUGAAAACAAAAUGGAUCAGCCACUUAUAUAUGAGAGAGGUUGGGGUAAGAAGCUA
Macrobrachium nipponense is the source of this 590-nucleotide long non-coding RNA. RefSeq lists it as uncharacterized. NCBI's taxonomy places the organism in Eukaryota, Metazoa, Arthropoda, Malacostraca, Decapoda, Palaemonidae. The record is from RefSeq and is a predicted model, not a curated record. The transcript has 4 exons.